UGGGUGCAGGGGAAGGUGUGGAGAUGGACGCUAGGGAUGAGGAGUGGACAGACACAGUGGUGGCUGUGGCAGCAGCCAUCUGAGUGGCCCACGGGGCAAAGGCACAGGAGAGAGGGCUGCUGCUGGCCGUCCACUUGCACACCGUCCUCUUCCCUCCAUGUGGAAGGGGCUCAGAGGUCCCGGGGGCACUGGCCUCUUGCUCUGUGACUUAGGAUGGCUCUUUGCCUUAACAGGUGGAGGUGGCCCCAUGAGGGCACCUUGCCGCAGUCUAAGUGCUGGCGCACCUCAAGGACAGGAGCAGCCCUGAUAGAGGCAAACAGCAGGUGCAUAAAAAGUGUUGGUGAGCUAAUGAGUGGAUCUAUGGCUCGGCUUUGGUUUGCAUCUUCACAGGUCUCGCUUUGCUGGGUAGGAGGCCCCUCCUGGACCUAGGACGCAGAGUCGGGUCAGGAACCCUCAGGCCACAGCUGCCGUCUGGUGCCCAGGGUCAUGCCAACCUGAGAUUUUAAGAGUGAGGGGAUGUAAGGCAGUCCACCUUCUCUGUCUACCCUGGGCUACACUAGCCAUCAAAGUUGGCUCUCCUGGCUUCAGGAAAACUCACGGUUCCCAUGCAGCUGCCAGCCCGCCAGGUCUUGGAAGCAUUCAGGGUAGUGUUAGGUCCCUGGUCCCCUUUCUUCACGUCCUUCACCAUUUGGAGCUGCUGUUCAGAGUGGCUGAGGAGAAAGCUUGGAAGAGGAACCCUCCCGGCAGGAGCCACACAGAACCCCGUCCUGGGACCCCUACCUGCUGGCCUGCCUGUGGAGGGGACAGCUGGCGCUCUGCCCACAGGUCAGCCAAGUCAGCAGCAGGGCUCUCCUCUGGCCUGUGGUGGAAGCCCCUGGGGUCUUGGUGCUCCCUGGAGGUGGAUGAGGGGGCAGCCACAGGGUGGAGGAGCCUGAGGGUGAGGGUCCCCUUGGUCUGGAGAAUCAGCAGUGACCAGUAGGAGCCAAUGGAAGGAGGCUCCAGCCUGCAGAGUUGAAAUUCUGAGAAGAUUUGGGAAGAAAAAAGUACAAAACAGAGAGGGUUGGUCUUUCCAACCAGGGGACAUGUUUCCCUUGUCACUGUCAAGUUAGAUCCCACAGCGCAGGAGGGUUGGGGCCCGAGAAGCUCUAGGCAGAGCUGGAGGUGGGCGGGCAGCUGCAGGUGAAGCCCAGCCUGGCUCGCCACACCCCAGCACAGUCUGGAAGGAGCAGAGGGAAGGAGCUAGCAAGGGGACUGUGGGGCCACGCAGUGUGGACCCCCACAGGUGUGUGGGACGGGCCGUGGGCCUCGGGACUGGCUUGGGGAGGGCGGAGGAGGGGACCACACAGCCUGGGAGCUGCCGUGCAGUGGAGCACCCAGCACGGGCUCCGUGUGGCCAGGCUGGGGGGCUCCUUCCUGCCCCCUGCAGGGGCCUGUGGUGGAGUCAGCUCUCGGGCCAGCAGCCGCCCAGUGCCCUCCUGGGGGCCAGGGUGCACAGCACUGGCCUUCUUAAAAAGCUCCCUGGCAGGCCCGGGUUGUGCACUGGGUUUGACCCCAACACCACAUAAAAAUAAACAAAUGAAAUAAAGGUAUGGUGUCCAUCUACAGCAACAAGAAACAAGAUAAAAGCUCCCUGGCCGACGACAGGCAGACCCCCGACAGAACAGCACGAGCGCUGGCCGGCCCGGGGCAGCGUGGGGGUGUAGCUGAAGAGGACAGUGCUGGAGCAGGAGGCCUGGGGUCAUCUGGGCAGCUGAGAAGAGUGGGAAGUACGGGAUCUCAGUCCGAUCUGCUGACCAGCGAGUUUCCCUGGACUCGGGGCCACCCCCAGGCGGAAGCCAGAGAGGAAGGAUGACCAGCGUGUGUGCCUAGGGGAGGUGGAGGGGACUUGCCAGGGACUGGGGGGAGCUGGGCGGAGACACCAGCGGCUCCUGGGCUGGGCUGUCUUCAUCCCUAAGGAGGCCUGGCUGGGGAGCCUGGGGACCAAGACCCAGCUAGCUCCAGGAGCCAUGGGUGUGCUUCACCCACAGGGGGAUGCGUGGCAGUGCGUGGCCCCGGGGGCGCCUUUAAAUCUUUAAAUACAAGAUUGUAUGGUGCAGCUUGUGAUCCCAGCAGCUCAGGACGCUGAGGCAGGAGGAUUUCAACUUCAAGCCAGCCUCAGCAAUGUAGCAAUACCCAAAGCAACUCAGUGAGACCCUGUCUCAAAAUUUAAAAAAUUAAAAUUUUAAUGGGCUGGGAUUGUGGCUCAGAGGUAGAGCGCUUGCUUAGCACGGGCGGGACCCGGUUCGAUUCUCAGCACCACAUAAAGAAAAUAAAG
RNAcentral lists this long non-coding RNA (2314 nucleotides) under Marmota monax (woodchuck). The record is from RNAcentral. Lineage: Eukaryota; Metazoa; Chordata; Mammalia; Rodentia; Sciuridae.